This 800-nucleotide ribosomal RNA is filed under the name uncultured bacterium. RNAcentral describes it as "bacterial SSU rRNA". It matches the Rfam family "Bacterial small subunit ribosomal RNA", at positions 8 to 841 of the family's 1533-position model. The record is from RNAcentral.
AGAGUUUGAUCAUGGCUCAGAAUCAACGUUGGCGGCGCGCUUAACACAUGCAAGUCGGACGAGAAAGUGGAGCAAUCCAUGAGUACAGUGGCGUACGGGUGAGUAACACGUGGGUAAUCUACCUUUUGGUGGGGGAUAACCUGGGGAAACCUGGGCUAAUACCGCAUAAUCCCGCAAGGGCAAAGCAGCAAUGCGCCGAUAGAGGAGCCCGCGGCCGAUUAGCUAGUUGGUGGGGUAAUGGCUCACCAAGGCGAAGAUCGGUAGCCGGCCUGAGAGGGCACACGGCCACACUGGCACUGAAACACGGGCCAGACUCCUACGGGAGGCAGCAGUGGGGAAUCUUGCACAAUGGGGGCAACCCUGAUGCAGCGACGCCGCGUGAGCGAUGAAGUCCUUCGGGAUGUAAAGCUCUUUCGACGGGAACGAUAAUGACGGUACCCGGAGAAGAAGCUGCGGCUAACUACGUGCCAGCAGCCGCGGUAAUACGUAGGCAGCAAACGUUGUUCGGAAUUACUGGGCGUAAAGAGUGUGUAGGCGGUGCCGUAAGUUCGGUGUGAAAUCUCCUGGCUUAACUGGGAGGGUGCGCCGAAAACUGCGGUGCUCGAGGAUGGGAGAGGAAAGCGGAAUUCCUGGUGUAGCGGUGAAAUGCGUAGAUAUCAGGAGGAACACCUGCGGUGUAGACGGCUUUCUGGACCACCCCUGACGCUGAGACACGAAAGCGUGGGUAGCAAACAGGAUUAGAUACCCUGGUAGUCCACGCCCUAAACGAUGCAUACUUGGUGUGAGCCAUUCAUUUGGUU